Molecule: RNA transcript, 575 nt
Organism: Drosophila innubila
Lineage: Eukaryota; Metazoa; Arthropoda; Insecta; Diptera; Drosophilidae
Exons: 3
Source: RefSeq, a predicted model, not a curated record
AGCCUUUGGACCGGGUGGCAACCUUCCACAGUGACAUUCUCAAGUCAGAAACGUAAAAUGUUUAUAAAUUAUAUAAAUCGCACAAGAAGAGACAAUUUGUAAGUUUGGUAAUGGCAUCGAUUGAUACUAGCAAGCGGAAACCAAGGCGCACACUAGGCACACCAUCAUAUAAAUAUCGCAAUCGCUUUGCUUACGCUUUACUUGCCGCUGGCUCGCUGCUUUUUGGAAUUUGGAGUCUAACACCCAUGCAACGCAUUGCCAACGAGAGAAUCACCCAAGCCUUAGUCACACAAUCCGAGGAAGAGAAGGAUCGUCGUGCAUUGUUUGAUUUUGCGGCUCCACGCAGAGCAGAUUUCAUCCGGGAGGCAAUUGAGGAGGCAGAGCAGCUGGCCAAGGAGCGCUAACAACAUGGACAGAGAGACGCGCAAGGCCAACUUUAAGAAACUACAACAACCCGCAACCACAAAGCUGCGCAAUACACGCAGCAGCAGCAAGGCGGUUGCAGUGACCACGACAUUAUCCGACUAUUUCAGUACACAGGAGAGUGCCAGUAAUGAGGGAACGCAACCUAGGCG